This 252-nucleotide ribosomal RNA is filed under the name uncultured bacterium. Its description in RNAcentral is "partial 16S ribosomal RNA". It matches the Rfam family "Bacterial small subunit ribosomal RNA", at positions 524 to 775 of the family's 1533-position model. The record is from RNAcentral.
UACGGGGGGGGCAAGCGUUGUUCGGAAUUACUGGGCGUAAAGGGCUCGUAGGCGGCCAACUAAGUCAGACGUGAAAUCCCUCGGCUUAACCGGGGAACUGCGUCUGAUACUGGUUGGCUUGAGUGUGGGAGAGGGAUGCGGAAUUCCAGGUGUAGCGGUGAAAUGUGUAGGAUAUCUGGAGGAACACCGGUGGCGAAGGCGGCAUCCUGGACCAUUCUGACGCUGAGGAGCGAAAGCCAGGGGAGCAAACGG